RNAcentral lists this ribosomal RNA (2154 nucleotides) under Nippotaenia decidua. RNAcentral describes it as "partial 28S ribosomal RNA". It matches the Rfam family "Eukaryotic large subunit ribosomal RNA", at positions 16 to 1480 of the family's 3401-position model. The record is from RNAcentral. Lineage: Eukaryota; Metazoa; Platyhelminthes; Cestoda; Nippotaeniidea; Nippotaeniidae.
CUUAGGUCGACCCGCUGAAUUUAAGCAUAUCAAUAAGCGGAGGAAAAGAAACUAACCAGGAUUCCCCUAGUAACGGCGAGUGAAGAGGGAAGAGCCCAGCACCGAAGCCUGCGGCAGGUUUGCUGCUAGGCAAUGUGGUGUUUGGGUCGGCUAGCGGGACUGCCGCUCCACUCGAAGUCCAGCAUUGAGUAUGGUCACUGGAUUUGGCCCAAAGAGGGUGAGAGGCCCGUACGGGUGGAGGUGCAGACAUGCAAGGCAGUUCACCAGGCCGACCUCAGAGUCGGGUUGUUUGAGAAUGCAGCCCAAAGUGGGUGGUAAACUCCAUCCAAGGCUAAAUACUAGCACGAGUCCGAUAGCGAACAAGUACCGUGAGGGAAAGUUGAAAAGUACUCUGAAGAGAGAGUAAACAGUACGUGAAACCGCAUGCAGGUAAACGGGUGGCGUCAAGCUGCGAGCCCGGAGGAUUCAGCUGACUAGGAUGUAGUGUAUGCGUCUGUGGCAUCUAUUGGCCGGAGUAAGAUGUGGUAGUCCACAGGAAGACUGUGGGCCUGGCCGCAAGGUUGGGAUGUGUUUGCCGGGCGGAGGCCGGAGCACGCUACUCGUCUGUUGGGCCGCCUAGUCAGUGCACUUUCUCUGUGGUGAACACCACGACCGGUGGUAUUGCCAGUCUGCUGUGGCCAAGUCGCGUUUCUACGGUUCUUCCAUGGAUCGUGGGGAUGCGAUCACAGGCAAGCCCUGUAGACGGCGUAGGGGCACCUCGGUGUCGCUGCGUGUCAUCGUCUGCAGGUUGCCAACGGGCAGUGAGCGAGUGUUGUGACCGUCGUCUCUUGUCUGUCUGGUGGGCCACGGUGGUAGGAAUAACUGUGCAAGGCACCGGAGUUCUCCACCUCUUACGUGUCCGAUGCGCGCGUCACAGGCGUGCCUUGAUUGUGCUGCUGCUGCCGCACUGCUGCCCGUCGUUGGGUGUGAUUGUCGUGUUGCCUGCGCAAAGUGGGCCCGGCAGUGAUCUGAUGCAGGUUGGUGUGUGUUUGGCAGUGGCGGUUAUUGUGUCGGAUGCAGUGGGUGAAACAGUCAGUGGUGCUGUGGUAGACGAGCUACCCGACCCGUCUUGAAACACGGACCAAGGAGUUUAACAUGUGUGCGAGUCAAAGGGUCCUACGAAACCCCUAGGCGCAGUGAAAGUGAAUCCUCUUCCUACCUUUGGUGAGAGGUGAGGUGAGAUCCCACCGUUACUCGCAUCCGUUUUGGUCUAGCACCAGGCUAAAGAGCGGUGGGCGCAUCACCGGCCCGUCCCAUGAUGUGGUCGCUUGGUGUCCGAGGUGCCUUUCGGUGUCACGGGUAGCACUGGUGCGUCAUCGGGGCGGAGCAUGAGCAUACAUGUUGAGACCCGAAAGAUGGUGAACUAUGCUUGCGUAGGUUGAAGCCAGAGGAAACUCUGGUGGAGGACCGUAGCGAUUCUGACGUGCAAAUCGAUCGUCAAACGCGAGUAUAGGGGCGAAAGACUAAUCGAACCAUCUAGUAGCUGGUUCCCUCCGAAGUUUCCCUCAGGAUAGCUGGCACUCAUUCGCAUGAUCAGUUUUAUCCGGUAAAGCGAAUGAUUAGAGGUACUGGGUUCGAAACGAGCUCAACCUAUUCUCAAACUUUAAAUGGGUGAGAUGCCCGGCUCGCCUAAUAGGAGUCGGGCGUUGAAUGUGCGAGUGCCAAGUGGGCCAUUUUUGGUAAGCAGAACUGGCGCUGUGGGAUGAACCAAACGCUCGGUUAAGGUGCCUAACGCGACGCUCAUGAGAUACCACAAAAGGUGUUGGUUAAUAUAGACAGCAGGACGGUGGCCAUGGAAGUCGGCAUCCGCUAAGGAGUGUGUAACAACUCACCUGCCGAAUUGACCAGCCCUGAAAAUGGAUGGCGCUGGAGCGUCGGACCUAUACCGGGCCGUCAUCGCAAGCUGGGUCGCUUGCGUAUUUGAAAUUGCGGUGCGAGCGGCAGGCGUGUGUGUGUUUGUGCGUGCACGCGGCCGUCUUGAAGUCAUGACCCAGGCAUGGAGUGCGGUGGCGAGUAGGAGGGUCGCCGUGGUGAGCGUGGAAGCUUCGGGCGUGAGCCUGAGUGGAGCCGCCACGGGUGCAGAUCUUGGUGGUAGUAGCAAAUAUUCCAAUGAAA